AGAGUUUGAUCCUGGCUCAGGGCGAACGCUGGCGGCAGGCCUAACACAUGCAAGUCGAACGGAUCCUUCGGGAUUAGUGGCGGACGGGUGAGUAACACGUGGGAACGUGCCCUUUGGUUCGGAACAACUCAGGGAAACUUGAGCUAAUACCGGAUGUGCCCUUCGGGGGAAAGAUUUAUCGCCAUUGGAGCGGCCCGCGUCUGAUUAGCUAGUUGGUGGGGUAAAGGCCCACCAAGGCGACGAUCAGUAGCUGGUCUGAGAGGAUGAUCAGCCACAUUGGGACUGAGACACGGCCCAAACUCCUACGGGAGGCAGCAGUGGGGAAUCUUGCGCAAUGGGCGAAAGCCUGACGCAGCCAUGCCGCGUGAAUGAUGAAGGUCUUAGGAUUGUAAAAUUCUUUCACCGGGGACGAUAAUGACGGUGCCCGGAGAAGAAGCCCCGGCUAACUUCGUGCCAGCAGCCGCGGUAAUACGAAGGGGGCUAGCGUUGCUCGGAAUUACUGGGCGUAAAGGGAGCGUAGGCGGACUGUUAAGUUAGAGGUGAAAGCCCAGGGCUCAACCUUGGAAUUGCCUUUGAUACUGGCAGUCUUGAGUACGGAAGAGGUAUGU
This 608-nucleotide ribosomal RNA is filed under the name uncultured bacterium. RNAcentral's name for it is "bacterial SSU rRNA". It matches the Rfam family "Bacterial small subunit ribosomal RNA", at positions 8 to 662 of the family's 1533-position model. The record is from RNAcentral.